GGGAAUCGAUGCAGGACCGAAGGGGCCGAGCUGGGCGCGAAAAAGAAAGAGAGAGAGCAGAGCCGGUGAACAGACGCGGUGAGAAGAAGAAGAAGCGCCGCUGAGCUAGGGCUUGCAGUUAUUUUGUUCGUUUUUCUUUUAUGUUGUAUUUUUAUUUUUUAUUUUAAUAUAAACAAUCACUUGAUUUGGAAUAGUGGGCUUUUUGCUUUAUAUAAUUUUUAUUUGGCUUUAUGUUUUUUUUAAAAAAAAAAAUUGGAGAGAUAUAUUAAAUCAUUGUCAAGAACAAGUGUCCCUAACCAUCUAGGGAGAUCCUCAGUCCAAAC
Molecule: long non-coding RNA, 323 nt
Filed under: Salvia miltiorrhiza (redroot sage)
Lineage: Eukaryota; Viridiplantae; Streptophyta; Magnoliopsida; Lamiales; Lamiaceae
Description: long non-coding RNA (SMIL_LNC001863)
Source: RNAcentral